GAUGAACGCUGGCGGCGUGCCUAAUACAUGCAAGUCGAGCGAACGGACGAGAAGCUUGCUUCUCUGAUGUUAGCGGCGGACGGGUGAGUAACACGUGGAUAACCUACCUAUAAGACUGGGAUAACUUCGGGAAACCGGAGCUCAUACCGGAUAAUAUUUUGAACCGCAUGGUUCAAAAGUGAAAGACGGUCUUGCUGUCCCUUAUAGAUGGAUCCGCGCUGCAUUAGCUAGUUGGUAAGGUAACGGCUUACCAAGGCAACGAUGCAUAGCCGACCUGAGAGGGUGAUCAGCCACACUGGAACUGAGACACGGUCCAGACUCCUACGGGAGGCAGCAGUAGGGAAUCUUCCGCAAUGGGCGAAAGCCUGACGGAGCAACGCCGCGUGAGUGAUGAAGGUCUUCGGAUCGUAAAACUCUGUUAGUAGGGAAGAACAUAUGUGUAAGUAAAUGUGCACAUCUUGACGGUACCUAAUCAGAAAGCCACGGCUAACUACGUG
Molecule: ribosomal RNA, 497 nt
Filed under: uncultured bacterium
Lineage: Bacteria
Description: partial 16S ribosomal RNA
Rfam family: Bacterial small subunit ribosomal RNA
Source: RNAcentral